Molecule: long non-coding RNA, 698 nt
Organism: Suricata suricatta (meerkat)
Lineage: Eukaryota; Metazoa; Chordata; Mammalia; Carnivora; Herpestidae
Exons: 4
Source: RefSeq, a predicted model, not a curated record
GCUUCACAAGCUGCUUCACCUCAACAGGCUGUGUCGGAAUGUCUGCUAGGACCAUGGACAAACCGCAUUUGGCAGCUCACGUCCUUAGGUGCCAGGUGGUCAUCUAAAUACAUCUGGUUUGUCAUUCACGGUGACUUCACAGGGCGCGUGCUGCUAUCGUUGGCCACUUUAUAGGGAUGGGAACAAAGAGAGAUUAUUAAAUAACCUGGCCUCAGUAGCAGAGCUAGUCAGCAACAGAGCAACCAAAGUAGCGUGUCUUCAGAGCCCACGUUUAUCCGCGCUUCUGUGUCACCGCACGUCACUGCCCCUGCUGGUCCACCCAGAAGCCUGGGAAGAGUUCAUAGUUUCCCUUCUGAAACCAACAUGAAAAACAGAUGCCCAAAUAUGUUAUUUAACAGCGUAAGGACAAGGAACCUGCACAUCUUGCUGUGUUCUAGACUUCUACCGACAGGAGUCAAAUUUCACCUCCACUUUUCUUAGUUCUGAAAGCACGGUGAGAAGGCAGCCCUGUGCAGGCCAGGAAAAAGGGCUCUCACCAGAACCUGACCACGCUGGCACCCUGAUACUGGAUCUCCAUCCUCUGGAACCGUGAGAAAUAAAUUUCCGUAGUUUAAACUACCCAGUCUAUGGUGCUUAGUCAUGGCAGCCCAAGCUGAAGACAAAAACCAAUAAAAAUAGUAAGUGUUUUAGUGUUAUAA